CAGCAGCCGCGGUAAUACGUAGGGUGCGAGCGUUAAUCGGAAUUACUGGGCGUAAAGCGGGCGCAGACGGUUACUUAAGCAGGAUGUGAAAUCCCCGGGCUCAACCUGGGAACUGCGUUCUGAACUGGGUAACUAGAGUGUGUCAGAGGGAGGUAGAAUUCCACGUGUAGCAGUGAAAUGCGUAGAGAUGUGGAGGAAUACCGAUGGCGAAGGCAGCCUCCUGGGAUAACACUGACGUUCAUGCCCGAAAGCGUGGGUAGCAGACAGGAUUAGAUACCCCCGUAGUCCCUGUCUCUUAUAC
RNAcentral lists this ribosomal RNA (301 nucleotides) under uncultured bacterium. Its description in RNAcentral is "partial 16S ribosomal RNA". It matches the Rfam family "Bacterial small subunit ribosomal RNA", at positions 509 to 807 of the family's 1533-position model. The record is from RNAcentral.